RNAcentral lists this ribosomal RNA (252 nucleotides) under uncultured bacterium. RNAcentral describes it as "partial 16S ribosomal RNA". It matches the Rfam family "Bacterial small subunit ribosomal RNA", at positions 524 to 776 of the family's 1533-position model. The record is from RNAcentral.
UACGAGGGGGCUAGCGUUGCUCGGAAUCACUGGGCGUAAAGCGCACGUAGGCGGCUUUCUAAGUCAGGGGUGAAAUCCUGGAGCUCAACUCCAGAACUGCCUUUGAUACUGGAGAGCUUGAGUCCGGAAGAGGUGAGUGGAACUCCGAGUGUAGAGGUGAAAUUCGUAGAUAUUCGGAAGAACACCAGUGGCGAAGGCGGCUCACUGGUCCGGUACUGACGCUGAGGUGCGAAGGCGUGGGGAGCAAACAGG